UACGUAGGGUGCAAGCGUUAAUCGGAAUUACUGGGCGUAAAGCGUGCGCAGGCGGUAAUGUAAGACAGAUGUGAAAUCCCCGGGCUCAACCUGGGAACUGCAUUUGUGACUGCAUUGCUGGAGUGCGGCAGAGGGGGAUGGAAUUCCGCGUGUAGCAGUGAAAUGCGUAGAUAUGCGGAGGAGCACCGAUGGCGAAGGCAAUCCCCUGGGCCUGCACUGACGCUCAUGCACGAAAGCGUGGGGAGCAAACAGG
This 253-nucleotide ribosomal RNA is filed under the name uncultured bacterium. Its description in RNAcentral is "partial 16S ribosomal RNA". It matches the Rfam family "Bacterial small subunit ribosomal RNA", at positions 524 to 776 of the family's 1533-position model. The record is from RNAcentral.